UGCAAGUCGAACGAUGAACCACUUCGGUGGGGAUUAGUGGCGAACGGGUGAGUAACACGUGGGCAAUCUGCCCUUCACUCUGGGACAAGCCCUGGAAACGGGGUCUAAUACCGGAUACAACCACCGGCCGCAUGGUCUGGUGGUGGAAAGCUCCGGCGGUGAAGGAUGAGCCCGCGGCCUAUCAGCUUGUUGGUGAGGUAACGGCUCACCAAGGCGACGACGGGUAGCCGGCCUGAGAGGGCGACCGGCCACACUGGGACUGAGACACGGCCCAGACUCCUACGGGAGGCAGCAGUGGGGAAUAUUGCACAAUGGGCGAAAGCCUGAUGCAGCGACGCCGCGUGAGGGAUGACGGCCUUCGGGUUGUAAACCUCUUUCAGCAGGGAAGAAGCGAAAGUGACGGUACCUGCAGAAGAAGCGCCGGCUAACUACGUGCCAGCAGCCGCGGUAAUACGUAGGGCGCGAGCGUUGUCCGGAAUUAUUGGGCGUAAAGAGCUCGUAGGCGGUCUGUCGCGUCGGAUGUGAAAGCCCGGGGCUUAACCCCGGGUCUGCAUUCGAUACGGGCAGACUAGAGUGUGGUAGGGGAGAUCGGAAUUCCUGGUGUAGCGGUGAAAUGCGCAGAUAUCAGGAGGAACACCGGUGGCGAAGGCGGAUCUCUGGGCCAUUACUGACGCUGAGGAGCGAAAGCGUGGGGAGCGAACAGGAUUAGAUACCCUGGUAGUCCACGCCGUAAACGGUGGGAACUAGGUGUUGGCGACAUUCCACGUCGUCGGUGCCGCAGCUAACGCAUUAAGUUCCCCGCCUGGGGAGUACGGCCGCAAGGCUAAAACUCAAAGGAAUUGACGGGGCCCGCACAAGCAGCGGAGCAUGUGGCUUAAUUCGACGCAACGCGAAGAACCUUACCAAGGCUUGACAUACACCGGAAACGGCCA
This 932-nucleotide ribosomal RNA is filed under the name Streptomyces diastatochromogenes. RNAcentral describes it as "bacterial SSU rRNA". It matches the Rfam family "Bacterial small subunit ribosomal RNA", at positions 56 to 1002 of the family's 1533-position model. Lineage: Bacteria; Bacillati; Actinomycetota; Actinomycetes; Kitasatosporales; Streptomycetaceae. The record is from RNAcentral.